GGGAUACUCACAUUCUUGUUCAAAUUUCAAGCUGUUGUUGCUCGUAAUUUAGAGUUUAGCUUGUACAAUGACGUAGAUUCAUGUCUAAUGAAUGAGUAUUUUGAUAAUAUUAGUUUAAAAUGUGUAGCCUGUCCUGUAAAUCAGACAACAGAAGAUCCUUAUACCUGUACCUGCCUCCCGGGAUUCAAGUCUGUUUAUAAUGAGAAAAACGAAUUGAAUUGUGAAGAAUGUCCGUCCUUUUAUGUUGCUUCAAAUGACAGGCUUAGUUGUAUUCCUUGUGAGGCAGAAUCUUAUUAUAAUGCCACUACCAAAGAGUGUGAUCCAUGCACGGACCCAUUUCAAAUUAUGAUAGACAAAGGAAUCAAUGGGACGUAUUUAGACAAUGUGACGUGCUUAGAUUGUUCACCUGAGACCAUUCCAGGACAAGGCAUAUGCAUACCUUGUCACUCAUCAUAUUAUGCAGCCAGUGGGGGCAAAUGUUCAUGUCCCAAAACCCAUGUAGAAAUUAAUGGCAUUUGUGUUCCCCAGACGGAGCUUGCCCAAAUCCCUGACAAGAUAAGCAGUUAUACCGUUCUGUAUGAAGAUGGUAAUAAAAUUCAGUCUUCCUUUUUUGAGACUAAUUUUAGAAUGGCAGCUCAUGCUUGUACUUUUUCUAAAAACUUUUCUUCAUGCCAGCUUUUAAGUAACUUGUGUGUUCUCUUACAUUAUACUUUUGAUGAUGACUAUAAUGCAUGUAGGUAUUACAGAGGAGAGUUUGGAGAUAAUUUUAUUAACCUUCCAAAUCAUGUCCCAUGGUUAUAUUAUACGGAAGGUGAAGCAAAUGUGUAUCUAUCAAAGACCAGAUUAAAAACACAUUAUAGUUUCAAAGAAGAUAAUCCUGAUUCAAAGUUCAAUUUCACUGUGGCAAAAUAUUCACCGGAGGGGCACCUAAUUCAGUAUGGUCGUUUAGAGGAUGUACUAACAGUAUGCCCCUUAAUUAGUUUUGAUCUAGAUGAUGCAAUCAAGUUUGGAACAACUUUUACCAAAAGUUGUUCUAUUUCAGUAAGAGAUCUUUGGGAUAAAUAUGACACUGUAUUUUAUGAUGUGUUUAUACAGUAUUAUGAUGAAGAGGAUCACAUGAUUUAUGCAGUCCCAGUUCUGAAUAGGAAUUAUGUAGAGAAAGGUGAAAAGUUAAAUCAGCAAAGUGAGAAGAAAUGGCAACUCAUGCGUAGAUUUUUUUUGUUUGAUAAUCUAAGUGGUAGGGAGAGUCUGUCUCCAAACACACCAGAUACGAUGGAAAGAGCAAAAGUAGUAAGAUAUGCUCAGAGCAUUGAAAUAGUUAUCAGACUAAGGGAAGGGGAAGGACAUGGCCUGAUUUUUCCGCCACUGAUAAAGAUAACAUAUGGAGAAGUUAGUGACGACCAAUAUGAAUCGAACACAAUGGUGGAAACUAGUUUUAGGGUUUUAUAUACUAUGGACUUUUCAAAGAUCACAGAUGAUUUGUCUAUCUCUAUAGGUGUAAUGAGUGCCUUUGCAAUGCUGUGGUCAAUGAUUACUACAUGGAGUUGGUCUCGUAGGUGUGGGAAACUUAGUAUUGAUCUCCCAACCAUUUUUCAUCUCAUUCUCACAACCUGUGGAAAUCUUGCCAAUGUCUUCUUUCUGGUCAUGUUCUUUUCUUGCCUAUAUUGGACUAUUUUCUUUAAGCGGCAAGAUGUUGUGUACUUGUUUUUGUUAACUGAUUCUCAAGAGGGGCUCAUCAAGCAAUAUUUAAUUGCUGCUUGUUUCUUGAAGUUGGCACAAAUCAUUCAGAUCUUAUAUGUCCAAGUGACACUUGAUAUGUUCAUCAUUGACUGGGAGCAGCCAAGAGCAAAGAAUUCCCUCCCACAUCCCCAGUUAUCUAAUAGUCUUGAUGAGGAAGAUAAAUCAAAAUCAGAACAGCCAAUUAGUAUAUGGAGGACAUAUUUCAUUACAAAUGAGUGGAAUGAGCUUCAAACUCACAGGAAGAUAAAUGUUGGAUAUCAGUUAUUCUUUACUCUGUUAUUCCUGAAUGUAAUUGGCUUUGAAAAUCUCUCAAGUGCAGAUCCAAGAAGUAACUUCCAAAUGAGUGAUACAGAAUAUAACCCUCCACAAAGUUAUGUAUGUAGAUUUGCUAUUAGUAUCACUGUUUUUGUUGUUAUUGCUGUUGUACAGUGGUUUUUCAAAACAGUUUUUUAUGAGCGGUGUGUGGAGAAUAAGAUCCAGCAAUUUGUUGACUUGUGUUCCAUAGCUAAUAUUAGUAUUUUUAUACUGAAACACACUGUUUAUGGGUAUUAUAUUCAUGGUCGUUCUGUACAUGGUUAUGCUGAUGUAGACAUGCAUUCCUUUUAUGAGCAACUAAAGAGGGAGGAAGAAGACCUUUGUGGACACCGGGGCCUUGAGCCAUCUAGUGAAUGCCAAAUAUUUGAAGUUGCUAUAACACACAAGUUCAGAGAACAGUAUGACACAAUAUUACGGCCUGUACAUGGAUUUGUGGGUAUGCGAAGACCAAGUAAUAGGGGAAGGAUGGCAUCAGCAGAGAUGGAGCAGAGUUUCAAAGCACAUGAAACAAUGAAAAGAUUCUUUGGCAUGUUUCUUCAACAUGCAUUGAAAGACUUGAAUUAUAUUGUUAAAGAAAAAUUAUUUUUGGAGAGUCUUCUGGAUCUUGAGUUUCAAGAGCCAGAUGAUAGGUGUUUGUUCUUCCGGGACAAUAACCAUGCCUUUGAAAGUGUCUUAUUAUCUGGCCAUGAAGUAUCUUUUGUCUUGUUUGAGAUAUUACUAUUUACUUUUGUUGAUUUGUUAGCUGAAAACUUUGUAUUGGCUAGUUUUGUAACCUUUGUUGUUUCAUACACUAUCAAGAAAGUAAGAUAUGCAUUUGGACGAAAAAAUGUAGUCAGUAAAACUUUAGUAGACCAAAGGUUCUUGAUAUAACUUUUAUUCUUGUUAUUUUUAAUAGAAACUAAACUGUUAAAGAAGAACUGCAUCUUUUAACACUGAGUAUAGCUUUUUUAUUUGAUUUAUAUCAGGUCAUAUGACUAGAAAGUCCAUUCAUCUUGGUGGGUAUCAAAUUAUAUUUUUGUUUCAACAACAGGGUUAAAAGCCCACCUGCAGACUGUAACAUAUUAUUUACCAGUGUUUGUAAAAGAUUGAGUUUCUUGCUUCUUAAUUUGUUUAGUUUUCUUCUUAUUUAUUUAUUUGCUUAUUUAUUGAUAUGUGUAAAAUAAUAGAAUAUAAGGUAUAUGAAACUGCCAUUUGAGGCUGUGUGUUGAAGAUAAGAAAUUUAAGUAAUUUUGAAGCAGUUGAACUUUGUAAGCCCACAGUCAGUAGGAACACUGCCUUACCAGUUCUGUGAAUGCUGAAUGCUAUUUUAUGCAAAGAUUUGAGUUGAUCUAUGAGUUGCAUUAACAGGACGUGGAGUUCUAUGUGUAUGAGCCAAAGAGUAUUUUAUUGACUGAAAUCCUGUUUGAAGUCAGGCUUUUAAUUGUGUGAAAAAAUUGCAUUUUAUUACCUUUGUAUUUGAUAUUGUAUCAUGCUGUUGCAUCUCCCUUACCUUAUCUUAUGUAAAUACUAUACAUUAAUGAGUAAAUAGUGACAGACUCCAAAUUUGUAAGGCUUUUUUUUCUGCAGUGAAAAUAUGAACUUUAUCAACUUUAGUAAGUUGGUAUCACAUAUGGUCCGGAGAACAUUUGAUGAAAAUUAUUUUGUGAGAUUUAGAGAACGUAUUUAAGAAUACAUAAAGCUACAUUUUGCCACAACCUUUAAAUGACAAAUAAUGGCUGCAAUGGACAAGAACCUGUCUCAUGAAAUUCCCCCAGAAUUUGCAGCCAUUACUUCAGCAACUGCCACUUAUUACAAAGUUGGAAGUUCAUUAGAUCAACUUCAUAAUGAAGAAGUAGUGAAGAAGCACAUGCUCCUUGUAACAUCACGGGGACAUCUUAUUGAGCUUCAGGCAGGCAAAAUAGUGCAUUUUUCAGAACUGCCAUGGAAAGAUGCAGCCAAAGUAGAUUGUGGUCCAUCACCAGUUUCAGCCAUUGCUGUUAUAUGUUAUUGUGCUCCGUAGAUGUCAAAAAGCUGUUCUUAUAUCAUAUAGUGACCUUAAGAUAAUUCAUGAAUGGGAUGAUGUGGAGGAUAUCAGUUCCUCAGACC
RNAcentral lists this unclassified non-coding RNA (4140 nucleotides) under Penaeus chinensis. RNAcentral describes it as "uncharacterized LOC125028231, transcript variant X3". The record is from RNAcentral. Lineage: Eukaryota; Metazoa; Arthropoda; Malacostraca; Decapoda; Penaeidae.